This is a long non-coding RNA of Dromaius novaehollandiae (emu), 452 nucleotides long. RefSeq lists it as uncharacterized. NCBI's taxonomy places the organism in Eukaryota, Metazoa, Chordata, Aves, Casuariiformes, Dromaiidae. The record is from RefSeq and is a predicted model, not a curated record. The transcript is spliced from 4 exons.
AAAUGGAAUAAGAGAUUUGCAGGCUGGAACACCACUUGGUUUAAUGGCUUAUUUAUAUUCUAGAAAUGCAUUUUUGGAAGGUUACGUACAGCAGUUUCUCUACACUUUUCGUUAUUUCUGCACACAAGAAGAGUUUUUGCAGUCUCUUCUUGAAAGAAUCAGCAGCACUUUAUCCAGUGCAAGUCUGGACCCUUCCACAUCAUUUACCAAAAUAUGUAACCGCAGUUUCUACAUCCUGCAGGCUUGGAUUGAAGACUGCUACAGUGUAGACUUUGCAACAAAUACUGAUCUUUUAUAUACUCUGAAAGAGUUUAUUUCUUCCAAGGUUGCUCCAUUAAAUGGCUAUGGUGAGCGCUUGUUGUCAUUGCUUGAGGAUUCUUCUGCCAGGAAAAGUGGCAGUGCUUAUCAUUGCUCCAGCAUGGACAAAUGUGAAGAGGAGGGUGAGGAGGACA